This 828-nucleotide long non-coding RNA is filed under the name Pectinophora gossypiella (pink bollworm). RNAcentral describes it as "uncharacterized LOC126372592". The record is from RNAcentral. Lineage: Eukaryota; Metazoa; Arthropoda; Insecta; Lepidoptera; Gelechiidae.
GGUUCUAUCGUCUUUCAAUAGAUGGCGCUGUAUUUUUAGUUCACGCUGUACUCGCUAGGUGUCAGUGUGAUCAUUUUUAUAUUCAUAGCAAAGAGUUAGUACUUGUGUUUUGGUAAAAGAUAAGGUUUUACCCAUAGAGAUAGGAAAUUAUAUGGAGGCGCCCUGUUCUACUAUAUAAACAUCAUCUUAUACAAAUAUGAGUAGUUUAUGAAACAGGUCGUCAAUAAUCGUUUUGUCUCUUUUUUACUAGUACAAAAUUUCAUUUGGUAAAAGAGAUAAAUAUAUAUUUGUUAUUUCUAGUUAUGGCAACAUUUUGUGAUGACGUCACAACAGCUGUAGGUGCGUGCCAUUUUUCGCCAUUUUAUGCGCUGUGUUUUGUGGUACUUCUGCUGUCAAGUAGCUGUUUAUGAGAUCGUAUUUUGUGUUUUGCGGAUAAAUUACGAGGAUUUGAUUUGCUAAAUCGAAGUUGAAGUUGAAAAAAGUGUUAUUCAACAUGUCCGUGUAUUGUAUUGUACAGUGUGGUGCCAGAAAGGACAGAAAUCAACCGUAUUUGUCACUUCAUAGGCCAUCUUUCAAUCCAAAAUUGUCGACUGGAUUUACUGAAACAGGUGAUAUUGGAAAACUAAUCCACAGCUGCAACGUCGUCUGUGCUGCCAUUGCCCGUACGUCUGUCUCAUAAGUCAGUACAUGAAAAGUCUGUUCAAGAAGACGCGAUGAAAAAAUUAAAAGAUAGCCAAUUUGAAGAAUAUUAUGGAAGAUCUGCAGAAUAAAAAUCAAAUAAUAAAGGGCAAAGUGUAUUGAUGGAAGAAUUGGCAGGACCGCAAGACU